RNAcentral lists this transfer RNA (72 nucleotides) under Capra hircus (goat). It matches the Rfam family "tRNA". From Rfam's summary of the family: Transfer RNA (tRNA) molecules are approximately 80 nucleotides in length. Lineage: Eukaryota; Metazoa; Chordata; Mammalia; Artiodactyla; Bovidae. The record is from Rfam by way of RNAcentral. RNAcentral also lists the same sequence under 1 other name.
UCCCCUGUGGCUCAGACGGUAAAGAAUCUGCCUGCAAUGCAGGAGAUGUGGGUUCAAUCCCCAGGAAGGGAA